GUGGGGAAUAUUGGGCAAUGGGCGCAAGCCUGACCCAGCAACGCCGCGUGAAGGAAGAAGGCUUUCGGGUUGUAAACUUCUUUUACCAGGGACGAAACAAAUGACGGUACCUGGUGAAUAAGCCACGGCUAACUACGUGCCAGCAGCCGCGGUAAUACGUAGGUGGCGAGCGUUAUCCGGAUUUAUUGGGUGUAAAGGGCGUGUAGGCGGGACAGCAAGUCAGAUGUGAAAACCAGAGGCUCAACCUCUGGCCUGCAUUUGAAACUGUUGUUCUGGAGUGUCGGGGAGGGAAUCGGAAUUCCGUGUGUAGCGGUGAAAUGCGUAGAUAUACGGAGGAACACCAGUGGCGAAGGCGGAUUACUGGACGAUAACUGACGCUGAGGCGCGAAAGCGUGGGGAGCAAACAGGAUUAGAUACCCGUGUAGUCC
This 428-nucleotide ribosomal RNA is filed under the name uncultured bacterium. RNAcentral describes it as "partial 16S ribosomal RNA". It matches the Rfam family "Bacterial small subunit ribosomal RNA", at positions 354 to 796 of the family's 1533-position model. The record is from RNAcentral.